This 377-nucleotide unclassified non-coding RNA is filed under the name soil metagenome. RNAcentral's name for it is "partial contains 5.8S ribosomal RNA, internal transcribed spacer 2, and large subunit ribosomal RNA". The stretch from base 1 to 120 matches the Rfam family "5.8S ribosomal RNA", at positions 35 to 154 of the family's 154-position model. The record is from RNAcentral.
GAUGAAGAACGUAGCGAAAUGCGAUAAGUAAUGUGAAUUGCAGAAUUCAGUGAAUCAUCGAAUCUUUGAACGCACCUUGCACCCUUUGGCAUUCCGAAGGGUAUGCUCGUUUGAGUGUCAUUGUACUUUCACACUUCCGAUCUUUGGAUUGGGAGCGGUGGACUUGGGUGUUGCUGCUUACUGUGGCUCACCUCAAAUCGAUUCGUGCACCUCUUGGUUGGACAUAGUACGGCGUGAUAAGUGUCUUCGCCGGCACCUCAGUAGAGGGUGGCUGAUCGGGAGCUCUGCUUCAAACCGUCCUCGGACAACAACUGACAACUUGACCUCAAAUCGAGUAGGACUACCCGCUGAACUUAAGCAUAUCAAUAAGCGGAGGA